GAACUUGUUACGAUGUUCUUUAGAAUUGAAGAUAAAGCAUCGUGAGCCGAAUACGUGGAAGAAUUUGACGUUUGGCUUUCUGUUGUUGAUGAUCUCAUAAGGAGUAAGAGUGAAACGCUUAUUGAGAUAGGACCUGUUCUGCGUAAAACAUGCUGCAGCAAUAGCAUCAGCCCAGAAAUAUAGAGGUAGAGAAGCGAAACUUAGCAUGGUUCGGGCCGCCUCACACAAAGAUCGGUUUCGUCUUUCGACAAUNUCUCAUAAGGAGUGAGAGUAAAGUGCUUGUUGAGAUAGAACAUGUUCUGCGUAAAACAUGCUGCAGCAAUAGCAUCAGCCCAAAAAUAUAAAGGUAAAGAAGCGAAACUUAGCAUAGUUCGUGCCGCCUCACACAAAAAUCGGUUUCGUCUUUCGACAAUCCCGUUUUGUUGAGGGGUGUAAGGAGCUGAGAAGUUGUGACUGGUCCCUUUUUCUGCUAAAAAGUUUUCAAAUUCUUUAUUCUUGAACUCCAGCCCAUUGUCGCUUCUGAUGUUGCGAACGACUUUCCUCAGCUGCACUUCAACCUGCUUGAUGAACAUUUUUAGCUUGAGAGUUGCUUCAGAUUUGUGCUUCA
This 607-nucleotide long non-coding RNA is filed under the name Lactuca sativa (garden lettuce). RNAcentral describes it as "long non-coding RNA (LSAT_LNC001146)". The record is from RNAcentral. Lineage: Eukaryota; Viridiplantae; Streptophyta; Magnoliopsida; Asterales; Asteraceae.